Molecule: non-coding RNA, 29 nt
Filed under: Mus musculus (house mouse)
Lineage: Eukaryota; Metazoa; Chordata; Mammalia; Rodentia; Muridae
Source: RNAcentral
UCCAAUUAUAAUGAAUCAUUGGUGGAGAA